GAAGGAAUAUUGGGCAAUGGGGGAAACCCUGACCCAGCAACGCCGCGUGAAGGAAGAAGGCCUUCGGGUUGUAAACUUCUGUGACAGGGGAAGAAAGCAAUGACGGUACCCUGAGAGGAAGCUCCGGCAAACUACGUGCCAGCAGCCGCGGUAAUACGUAGGGAGCGAGCGUUGUCCGGAAUUACUGGGCGUAAAGGGCGCGUAGGCGGCUUUUCAAGUUGUAUGUGAAAUACCAGGGCUCAACUCUGGGGGUGCAUACAAAACUGGAGAGCUUGAGUGUGGUAGAGGACAGUGGAAUUCCUAGUGUAGCGGUAAAAUGCGUAGAUAUUAGGAGGAACACCAGUGGCGAAGGCGACUGUCUGGGCCGCAACUGACGCUGAGGCGCGAAAGCGUGGGGAGCAAACAGG
Molecule: ribosomal RNA, 407 nt
Filed under: uncultured prokaryote
Also listed under: 1 other name
Description: bacterial SSU rRNA
Rfam family: Bacterial small subunit ribosomal RNA
Source: RNAcentral